UCUAGAAGACAUCUGAAAGAGAUUAAAGAUUUAUCGGUUGAUGGAUGGGGAUGCGUCUGAUUAGCUUGUUGGCGGGGUAACGGCCCACCAAGGCUACGAUCAGUAGGGGUUCUGAGAGGAAGGUCCCCCACAUUGGAACUGAGACACGGUCCAAACUCCUACGGGAGGCAGCAGUGAGGAAUAUUGGUCAAUGGGCGAGAGCCUGAACCAGCCAAGUAGCGUGCAGGAUGAAGGCCCUAUGGGUUGUAAACUGCUUUUAUAAGGGAAUAAAGUGAGUCUCGUGAGACUUUUUGCAUGUACCUUAUGAAUAAGGACCGGCUAAUUCCGUGCCAGCAGCCGCGGUAAUACGGAAGGUCCGGGCGUUAUCCGGAUUUAUUGGGUUUAAAGGGAGCGUAGGCCGGAGAUUAAGCGUGUUGUGAAAUGUAGACGCUCAACGUCUGCACUGCAGCGCGAACUGGUUUCCUUGAGUACGCACAAAGUGGGCGGAAUUCGUGGUGUAGCGGUGAAAUGCUUAGAUAUCACGAAGAACUCCGAUUGCGAAGGCAGCUCACUGGAGCGCAACUGACGCUGAAGCUCGAAAGUGCGGGUAUCGAACAGGAUUAGAUACCCUGGUAGUCCGCACGGUAAACGAUGGAUGCCCGCUGUUGGUCUGAAU
This 655-nucleotide ribosomal RNA is filed under the name uncultured bacterium. Its description in RNAcentral is "bacterial SSU rRNA". It matches the Rfam family "Bacterial small subunit ribosomal RNA", at positions 180 to 833 of the family's 1533-position model. The record is from RNAcentral.